RNAcentral lists this ribosomal RNA (497 nucleotides) under uncultured bacterium. Its description in RNAcentral is "partial 16S ribosomal RNA". It matches the Rfam family "Bacterial small subunit ribosomal RNA", at positions 28 to 523 of the family's 1533-position model. The record is from RNAcentral.
GAUGAACGCUGGCGGCGUGCUUAACACAUGCAAGUCGAACGAAGCAUUUAGAACAGAUUACUUCGGUUUGAAGUUCUAUAUGACUGAGUGGCGGACGGGUGAGUAACGCGUGGGUAACCUGCCUUGUACUGGGGGAUAGCAGCUGGAAACGGCUGGUAAUACCGCGUAAGCGCACAAUGUUGCAUGACAUGGUGUGAAAAACUCCGGUGGUAUAAGAUGGACCCGCGUCUGAUUAGCUAGUUGGUGAGAUAACAGCCCACCAAGGCGACGAUCAGUAGCCGACCUGAGAGGGUGACCGGCCACAUUGGGACUGAGACACGGCCCAGACUCCUACGGGAGGCAGCAGUGGGGAAUAUUGCACAAUGGAGGAAACUCUGAUGCAGCGACGCCGCGUGAGUGAAGAAGUAAUUCGUUAUGUAAAGCUCCAUCAGCAGGGAAGAUAGUGACGGUACCUGACUAAGAAGCUCCGGCUAAAUACGUGCCAGCCGCCGCGGUAA